This 551-nucleotide ribosomal RNA is filed under the name uncultured bacterium. RNAcentral's name for it is "bacterial SSU rRNA". It matches the Rfam family "Bacterial small subunit ribosomal RNA", at positions 795 to 1352 of the family's 1533-position model. The record is from RNAcentral.
CCACACGGUAAACGAUGAAUACUCGCUGUUGGCGAUAUACGGUCAGCGGCCAAGCGAAAGCAUUAAGUAUUCCACCUGGGGAGUACGCCGGCAACGGUGAAACUCAAAGGAAUUGACGGGGGCCCGCACAAGCGGAGGAACAUGUGGUUUAAUUCGAUGAUACGCGAGGAACCUUACCCGGGCUUAAAUUGCACUGGACAGGCUCAGAGAUGGGCUCUUCUUCGGACCAGUGUGAAGGUGCUGCAUGGUUGUCGUCAGCUCGUGCCGUGAGGUGUCGGCUUAAGUGCCAUAACGAGCGCAACCCUUGCCAUUAGUUACUAACAGGUUAUGCUGAGGACUCUAGUGGGACUGCCAUCGUAAGAUGUGAGGAAGGUGGGGAUGACGUCAAAUCAGCACGGCCCUUACGUCCGGGGCUACACACGUGUUACAAUGGGAGGUACAGAAGGCUGCUACCCGGCGACGGGAUGCCAAUCCCCAAAACCUCUCUCAGUUCGGAUUGGAGUCUGCAACCCGACUCCAUGAAGCUGGAUUCGCUAGUAAUCGCGCAUCAG